AAACUCCUGAGACAUGCGACAGGUAUCCUUUAAAUUCAACCGACAUGCACUAUACGGGAGAUCGGGUCUUGCAAUAGUAAGAUGCCAUUAUAUUUAUAUAAAGGAAUUUAAAUUUGCGAGCAGGUCACCCACCUGGGAGAUUCUCGGGUCUGAAUUUAUGGGGCCAACGGUGCCUUGGGAAUAAA
Non-coding RNA from Terrisporobacter sp., 185 nucleotides. It matches the Rfam family "6S / SsrS RNA". From Rfam's summary of the family: E. coli 6S RNA was the first non coding RNA to be sequenced, but its function was unknown until recently. It consists of 184 nucleotides that fold into an extended hairpin structure with a large single-stranded internal bulge. The record is from Rfam. NCBI's taxonomy places the organism in Bacteria, Bacillati, Bacillota, Clostridia, Peptostreptococcales, Peptostreptococcaceae.